RNAcentral lists this small RNA (123 nucleotides) under Marmota monax (woodchuck). Lineage: Eukaryota; Metazoa; Chordata; Mammalia; Rodentia; Sciuridae. The record is from RNAcentral.
GCCUGGCGCGGUGGCACACGCCUGUAAUCCAAGCAGCUUGGGAGGCUGAGACAGGAGGAUCACGAGUUCAAAGCCAACUUCAGCAACAACAAAGCACUAAGCAACUUUGUGAGAUUGUCUCUA